GGAUUGUCGAACAUGACGAUGACAAACUGGGUAUUGCUGGCAAAGCCAAUUCACCUGCCAGUCCUAAUUAUACACCUGACAAUGAGGAACAGUACAGCAGAUUGACUUACAUUAAGCAGUUUUGUUUUUUUUCCAUCACACACAGACAUCUUUGGCAGAAUUCAAUUAAAGCAAGUGUGCUCAGCCCAAGCCCAGAGGGCCAUUUGUGGCCCGCAAAGCUUCAAUCGACAGAUCAAC
Molecule: non-coding RNA, 237 nt
Organism: Pelobates cultripes (western spadefoot toad)
Lineage: Eukaryota; Metazoa; Chordata; Amphibia; Anura; Pelobatidae
Source: the annotation of a GenBank genome assembly